Molecule: ribosomal RNA, 355 nt
Filed under: uncultured bacterium
Lineage: Bacteria
Description: partial 16S ribosomal RNA
Rfam family: Bacterial small subunit ribosomal RNA
Source: RNAcentral
CCUACGGGAGGCAGCAGUGGGGGAUAUUGCACAAUGGGGGAAACCCUGAUGCAGCGACGCCGCGUGUAGGAAGACGGUCCUAUGGAUUGUAAACCACUGUUCUCAGGGACGAAAAUGACGGUACCUGGGGAGGACGCUCCGGCUAACUACGUGACAGCCGCCGCGGUACUCCGUAGGGAGCGAGGGUUGUCCGGAGUUACUGGGUGUAAGGGGAGCGUUGGCGGGGGUGCAAGUUGGGGGGAAAAUCUACGGGCUAAAGUGGUAGUCGCAGUCGAAACUGCAGCUCUUGAGUGAAGGAGAGGCAGGCGGAAUGCCGGGUGUAGCGGUGAAAUGCGUAGAUAUUAGGAAGAACACC